UUAAAAAGCUCGUAGUUGGAUUUCUGUUGAGGAUGACCGGUCCGCUCUUUGAGCGCGUAUCUGGUUCAGCCUUGGCAUCCUCUUGGGGAACGCUACUGUGCUUGAUUGCAUGGGGCGGUAUUCAAGACUUUUACUUUGAGGAAAUUAGAGUGUUCACUGCAAGCGUUAGCAAUUGAAUACAUUAGCAUGGAAUAAUAAUAUAGGACCUUGGUACUAUUUUGUUGGUUUCUAGAACUAAGGUAAUGAUUAAUAGGGACAAUUGGGGGCAUUCGUAUUAACGCGUCAGAGGUGGAAUUCUUAGAUUGCGUUACGACGAACUACUGCGAAAGCAUUUGCCAAGGAUGUUUUCAUUGAUCAAGAACGAAAGUAUGGGGAUCGAAGACGCUUAGAUACCGUCGUAGUCUAUACCAUAAACUAUGCCAACUAGAGAUUGGAGGUCGUUCUCUUUAUGACUCCUUCAGCACCUUAUGAGAAAUCAAAGUCUUUGGGUUCCGGGGGGAGUAUGGUCGCAAGGCUGAAACUUAAAGGAAUUGACGGAAGGGCACCACCAGGAGUGGAGCCUGCGGCUUAAUUUGACUCAACACGGGAAAACUUACCAGGUCCAGACAUAGUAAGGAUUGACAGAUUGAUAGCUCU
Molecule: ribosomal RNA, 636 nt
Filed under: uncultured marine eukaryote
Lineage: Eukaryota
Description: SSU rRNA
Rfam family: Eukaryotic small subunit ribosomal RNA
Source: RNAcentral